UUAUUCAACCAAAAAUCGACCCUAUUAUUACUGUACUGUGAUCGUUAUUUGUAGGGUCGUAUGCUGAUCGUGGUUUUACCACGGUAAAACAAAGAUCACCCAUAGACAAAAUUAUUGCCGACGAAGUUUAUAAAAAAACGACCUUAUUAAUAUUUCACUGUGAUCGUUAUUUGUAGAGUGAAAGCUGAUUGUCUAUUUGUGAUCGUGGUUUUACCACGGUAUUCCGUCAGUCAGCAUACGACCCUACAAAUAACGAUCGCAUUGUAGUAAUAAAUAAGGUCGAUUUUUGUUAGAAUGUUGGAUAGAUGUAAUAAUUAUCUCUCUAUUUAAUUUGUUCAUGGUGGCUACUCGAAGCGUGCAUAUCUUUGUGUGGAAGUAAAAAACCCAAGGAUUAUACGUAUGCUCAACUUGGACAAAAUCAAAGAUGAUUCCACUAAUACUGCAACCCAAUCCAGUACAACCCAGUGGAAGAAUGACCAGAAAUGCAAAAGUAUUUCAAGAAACUAUGGGAUAUUUUCUCGUCGUAGUCAACAUGAGACACAUUCUCUUCAAGGUUCUACCGAAAAGCAAAGAGGGGGUGAUCGGAAAGGAGCAAAAUGUUCAAGAAAACUCUUAAUGACUAACUAAAAAUGAAGGUUUUUCUAAUAAAGGCAAGUGCCAAAAUGUACCGUAUAAAUAUAUUUUGUGAUU
This is a long non-coding RNA of Pectinophora gossypiella (pink bollworm), 690 nucleotides long. RefSeq lists it as uncharacterized. Lineage: Eukaryota; Metazoa; Arthropoda; Insecta; Lepidoptera; Gelechiidae. The transcript is spliced from 3 exons. The record is from RefSeq and is a predicted model, not a curated record.